Molecule: long non-coding RNA, 326 nt
Filed under: Lathyrus oleraceus (garden pea)
Lineage: Eukaryota; Viridiplantae; Streptophyta; Magnoliopsida; Fabales; Fabaceae
Description: Pisum sativum (pea) long non-coding RNA (PSAT_LNC037560)
Source: RNAcentral
GUGGAUUUUACAUAAUUGGACCGAUAAGGAUUGCAUAAGGAUAUUGAAAAAAUGUAAAGAAGCUGUAACAAGUGAUGGAAAAAGAGGAAAAGUGAUUGUGAUAGAUAUGGUGAUAAAUGAAAAGAAAGAUGAGAAGAAUCUUACUCAAAUGAAGCUUCUUAUGGAUGUAAACAUGGCAAAAGAAGCUGUAACAAGUGAUGGAAAAAGAGGAAAAGUGAUUGUGAUAGAUAUGGUGAUAAAUGAAAAGAAAGAUGAGAAGAAUCUUACUCAAAUGAAGCUUCUUAUGGAUGUAAACAUGGCAUGUCUCAAUGGAAAAGAGAGAAAAG